GUGUCACCUCUAAGUGGUUCAUCCUGCCCAGUGUACACCCUGUAUAAACGGCCGCGGUAAUUCGUGCUAAGGUAGCGUAAUCCUUUGCCUCUUAAUUGGAGGAUAGUAUGAACGGAUAAACGAGAGUUUCGCUGUCUCAUUAAGAAAAAUAAAAAUUAUCACUCGGGUGAAGAGACCCAGAAUAAAAUGAAAAGACAAAAAGACCCUGCAGAGCUUCAUCCUACUCCCAUCUAUUAAUUUAUACUAGAUACAAAAUUUCUACAUGCAAUAAGAUUUGGUUGGGGCAACCGAGGACUAACUAAAACAUCCUCCCACAAACUAAGACAAAUACGUCACAAAAAGAUCCGUUUAAACCCGAUCAAAAGCAUAAGCUACCUCAGGGAUAACAGGCUAAUCCCUCUUAAGAGUUCACAUCAACAGAGUGGGCUUGGUACCUCGAUGUUGGCUUAGGGUCAGCCAUUUUGGUGCAGAAGCUUUUAUGGCAGGUCUGUUCGACCUUUAAACCCCU
This 508-nucleotide ribosomal RNA is filed under the name Cirratulus cf. cirratus MW-2014. Its description in RNAcentral is "partial 16S ribosomal RNA". It matches the Rfam family "Bacterial large subunit ribosomal RNA", at positions 1836 to 2597 of the family's 2925-position model. Lineage: Eukaryota; Metazoa; Annelida; Polychaeta; Terebellida; Cirratulidae. The record is from RNAcentral.